Molecule: ribosomal RNA, 1161 nt
Filed under: Escherichia coli
Lineage: Bacteria; Pseudomonadati; Pseudomonadota; Gammaproteobacteria; Enterobacterales; Enterobacteriaceae
Description: partial 23S ribosomal RNA
Rfam family: Bacterial large subunit ribosomal RNA
Source: RNAcentral
GGUUAAGCGACUAAGCGUACACGGUGGAUGCCCUGGCAGUCAGAGGCGAUGAAGGACGUGCUAAUCUGCGAUAAGCGUCGGUGAGGUGAUAUGAACCGUUAUAACCGGCGAUUUCCGAAUGGGGAAACCCAGUGUGUUUCGACACACUAUCAUUAACUGAAUCCAUAGGUUAAUGAGGCGAACCGGGGGAACUGAAACAUCUAAGUACCCCGAGGAAAAGAAAUCAACCGAGAUUCCCCCAGUAGCGGCGAGCGAACGGGGAGGAGCCCAGAGCCUGAAUCAGUGUGUGUGUUAGUGGAAGCGUCUGGAAAGGCGCGCGAUACAGGGUGACAGCCCCGUACACAAAAAUGCACAUAUUGUGAGCUCGAUGAGUAGGGCGGGACACGUGGUAUCCUGUCUGAAUAUGGGGGGACCAUCCUCCAAGGCUAAAUACUCCUGACUGACCGAUAGUGAACCAGUACCGUGAGGGAAAGGCGAAAAGAACCCCGGCGAGGGGAGUGAAAAAGAACCUGAAACCGUGUACGUACAAGCAGUGGGAGCCUCUUAAUGGGGUGACUGCGUACCUUUUGUAUAAUGGGUCAGCGACUUAUAUUCUGUAGCAAGGUUAACCGAAUAGGGGAGCCGAAGGGAAACCGAGUCUUAACUGGGCGUUAAGUUGCAGGGUAUAGACCCGAAACCCGGUGAUCUAGCCAUGGGCAGGUUGAAGGUUGGGUAACACUAACUGGAGGACCGAACCGACUAAUGUUGAAAAAUUAGCGGAUGACUUGUGGCUGGGGGUGAAAGGCCAAUCAAACCGGGAGAUAGCUGGUUCUCCCCGAAAGCUAUUUAGGUAGCGCCUCGUGAAUUCAUCUCCGGGGGUAGAGCACUGUUUCGGCAAGGGGGUCAUCCCGACUUACCAACCCGAUGCAAACUGCGAAUACCGGAGAAUGUUAUCACGGGAGACACACGGCGGGUGCUAACGUCCGUCGUGAAGAGGGAAACAACCCAGACCGCCAGCUAAGGUCCCAAAGUCAUGGUUAAGUGGGAAACGAUGUGGGAAGGCCCAGACAGCCAGGAUGUUGGCUUAGAAGCAGCCAUCAUUUAAAGAAAGCGUAAUAGCUCACUGGUCGAGUCGGCCUGCGCGGAAGAUGUAACGGGGCUAAACCAUGCACCGAAGCUGCG